CAGGUGUGCCUUCGGGAACUCUGAGACAGGUGCUGCAUGGCUGUCGUCAGCUCGUGUUGUGAAAUGUUGGGUUAAGUCCCGCAACGAGCGCAACCCUUAUCCUUGUUUGCCAGCGAGUAAUGUCGGGAACUCCAGGGAGACUGCCGGUGAUAAACCGGAGGAAGGUGGGGACGACGUCAAGUCAUCAUGGCCCUUACGAGUAGGGCUACACACGUGCUACAAUGGCGCAUACAGAGGGCAGCCAACUUGCGAAAGUGAGCGAAUCCCAAAAAGUGCGUCGUAGUCCGGAUUGGAGUCUGCAACUCGACUCCAUGAAGUCGGAAUCGCUAGUAAUCGUAGAUCAGAAUGCUACGGUGAAUACGUUCCCGGGCCUUGUACACACCGCCCGUCACACCAUGGGAGUGGGCUGCAAAAGAAGUGGGUAGUUUAACCUUCGGGAGGACGCUCACCACUUUGUGGUUCAUGACUGGGGUGAAGUCGUAACAAGGUAGCCCUAGGGGAACCUGGGGCUGGAUCACCUCCUUA
RNAcentral lists this non-coding RNA (525 nucleotides) under Vibrio mediterranei AK1. Its description in RNAcentral is "bacterial SSU rRNA". It matches the Rfam family "Bacterial small subunit ribosomal RNA", at positions 1009 to 1533 of the family's 1533-position model. Lineage: Bacteria; Pseudomonadati; Pseudomonadota; Gammaproteobacteria; Vibrionales; Vibrionaceae. The record is from RNAcentral.